Molecule: ribosomal RNA, 467 nt
Filed under: uncultured bacterium
Lineage: Bacteria
Description: partial 16S ribosomal RNA
Rfam family: Bacterial small subunit ribosomal RNA
Source: RNAcentral
GACGAACGCUGGCGGCGUGCUUAACACAUGCAAGUCGAACGGAAAGGCCCUGCUUUUGUGGGGUGCUCGAGUGGCGAACGGGUGAGUAACACGUGAGUAACCUGCCCUUGACUUUGGGAUAACUUCAGGAAACUGGGGCUAAUACCGGAUAGGAGCUCCUGCUGCAUGGUGGGGGUUGGAAAGUUUCGGCGGUUGGGGCUGGACUCGCGGCUUAUCAGCUUGUUGGUGGGGUAGUGGCUUACCAAGGCUUUGACGGGUAGCCGGCCUGAGAGGGUGACCGGCCACGUUGGGACUGAGAUGCGGCCCAGACGCCUACGGGGGGCAGCAGUGGGGAAUAUUGCACAAUGGGCGGAAGCGUGAUGCAGCAACGCCGCGUGCGGGAUGACGGCCUUCGGGUUGUAAACCGCUUUCGCCUGUGACGAAGCGUGAGUGACGGUAAUGGGUAAAGAAGCACCGGCUAACUACGU